CACAUUGGUUAGAUGAGGGAAGAGAAGAGGUGCCUUCAUGUAUAAAAAGGAGGGGGUGUGUGCAUUAGGAAGCAUGAGAGGCUAAGAUGCAAUUUAGAGAAAAUUGCAACUUUGGGCCCAAAGGUUUGAAUAAUUAAAUUCAAACCUAUAGUUUUUUUUAAUAUAAUUUUGGGACUCACAAUCCCAUUUUUAUAUUAUUUUUCUCUCUUCCUCUCACGUUGCUCGGCGUUUUCUCGCAAGGGGGGAUUAUUUUCUUUUUUCUUCAGAUUAUAUUGACAAAGAUAGUGGUGAAAAAGGAGUUGUGAAGGGGAACUUGUUAUUCAAGACACAAGGAGCGAAUCCGGCCGAGAAAGCACCAGAGGUGUAAUUAUGGUGUAUGAGACACCAUCUUUUACGUUGCCUCUUAUUUUGGAUUAUACAAUGUAUCUUGUGCCAACUUAGGACAUAUCUUGUCUAUGGA
Molecule: long non-coding RNA, 460 nt
Organism: Prosopis cineraria
Lineage: Eukaryota; Viridiplantae; Streptophyta; Magnoliopsida; Fabales; Fabaceae
Exons: 3
Source: RefSeq, a predicted model, not a curated record